GCCUGCGAGUCACGUAUGAAUAAUACGUGGCGAACGGCUCAGUAACACGUAGUCAACAUGCCCAAAGGACGUGGAUAACCUCGGGAAACUGAGGAUAAACCGCGAUAGGUCAUAAGUACUGGAAUGUUUUAUGGCUCAAAUCUACAUGGCCUCUGGAUUGGACUGCGGCCGAUCAGGCUGUUGGUGAGGUAAUGGCCCACCAAACCUGUUACCGGUACGGGCUCUGAGAGGAGGAGCCCGGAGAUGGGCACUGAGACAAGGGCCCAGGCCCUAUGGGGCGCAGCAGGCGCGAAACCUCCGCAAUAGGCGAAAGCUUGACAGGGUUACUCUGAGUGAUUCCCGCUAAGGGAAUCUUUUGGCAUCUCUAAAAACGAUGCAGAAUAAGGGGUGGGCAAGUCUGGUGUCAGCCGCCGCGGUAAUACCAGCACCCCGAGUGGUCGGGACGAUUAUUGGGCCUAAAGCAUCCGUAGCCGGUUCUACAAGUCUUCCGUUAAAUCCACCUGCUUAACAGAUGGGCUGCAGAGGAUACUAUAGAGCUAGGAGGCGGGAGAGGCAAGCGGUACUCAGUGGGUAGGGGUAAAAUCCGUUGAUCCAUUGAAGACCACCAGUGGCGAAGGCGGCUUGCCAGAACGCGCUCGACGGUGAGGGAUGAAAGCUGGGGGAGCAAACCGGAUUAGAUACCCGGGUAGUCCCAGCUGUAAACGAUGCAGACUCGGUGAUGAAUAGGCUUCGUGCCUAUUCAGUGCCGCAGGGAAAGCCGUUAAGUCUGCCGCCUGGGGAGUACGGUCGCAGACUGAAACUUAA
This 804-nucleotide ribosomal RNA is filed under the name uncultured crenarchaeote. RNAcentral's name for it is "bacterial SSU rRNA". It matches the Rfam family "Archaeal small subunit ribosomal RNA", at positions 48 to 859 of the family's 1478-position model. Lineage: Archaea; Thermoproteati; Thermoproteota. The record is from RNAcentral.